UUACAGAGUUCAUGCCCUCACGGGUAGACCUCCCACCCUUGUGUAUUUAUACAAUGUUGCUUUGGCGAGCCGCGCAGCUUCGGCUGUGCCUUGGGCCCUCGGGCCUGGGUGCGCUCGCCAGAGAAAUACCAAACUCUGAUUAUUUUUGUCGUCUGAGUACUAUAUCAAUAGUUAAAACUUUCAACAACGGAUCUCUUGGUUCUGGCAUCGAUGAAGAACGCAGCGAAAUGCGAUAAGUAAUGUGAAUUGCAGAAUUCAGUGAAUCAUCGAAUCUUUGAACGCACAUUGCGCCCCUUGGUAUUCCGGGGGGCAUGCCUGUUCGAGCGUCAUUUCAACCCUCAAGCUCUGCUUGGUAUUGGACUUUUGCCAGCGAUGGCAGGUUCUAAAAUCAGUGGCGGUGCCGUUGGGUCCUGAGCGUAGUAAUACUUCUCGCUACUGGAACCCCGCGUGCGUCUUGCCAUAACCCCCAAUUUUUUCAGGUUGACCUCGGAUCAGGUAGGGAUACCCGCUGAACUUAAGCAUAUGGCGAGUGAAGCGGCAAAAGCUCAAAUUUGAAAUCUGGCUCUUUCAGGGUCCGAGUUGUAAUUUGUAGAAGAUGUUUCGGGUGUGGUCCCAGUCUAAGUUCCCUGGAACUGGACAUCACAGAGGGUGAGAAUCCCGUAUGUGACUGGGUACCUACGUCCAUGUGAAACUCUUUCGACGAGUCGAGUUGUUUGGGAAUGCAGCUCAAAAUGGGUGGUAAAUUUCAUCUAAAGCUAAAUAUUGGCCAGAGACCGAUAGCGCACAAGUAGAGUGAUCGAAAGAUGAAAAGCACUUUGGAAAGAGAGUUAAACAGUACGUGAAAUUGUUGAAAGGGAAGGGCAUGCAAUCAGACUUGCGCCUAGUUGAUCAUCCGGGCUUCUGCCCGGUGCACUCGAUUAGGCUCAGGCCAGCAUCAGUUUAGAGGGCUGGAUAAAGGCCUUGGGAAUGUGGCCCCUCUCGGGGGGUGUUAUAGCCCAAGGUGCAAUGCAGCCUCUCUGGACUGAGGACCGCGCUUCGGCUAGGAUGCUGGCGUAAUGGUUGUAUGCCGCCCGUCUU
RNAcentral lists this ribosomal RNA (1077 nucleotides) under Sclerotinia veratri. Its description in RNAcentral is "eukaryotic LSU rRNA". The stretch from base 482 to 1077 matches the Rfam family "Eukaryotic large subunit ribosomal RNA", at positions 1 to 655 of the family's 3401-position model. Lineage: Eukaryota; Fungi; Ascomycota; Leotiomycetes; Helotiales; Sclerotiniaceae. The record is from RNAcentral.